This is a non-coding RNA of Dermacentor andersoni, 1330 nucleotides long. The record is from RefSeq and is a predicted model, not a curated record. NCBI's taxonomy places the organism in Eukaryota, Metazoa, Arthropoda, Arachnida, Ixodida, Ixodidae.
CGCCGGCGUUGCACAGCGGUGUCACAGAGCCACCGCGCUGCGAUCACUUCGGCGACACAAUCCAAAUUUGUCGGACAUCUCAUUCUGUGCUGGAAACACUGGGAGGCAGGAAGUUUGAAAAAUCGGCCAUUGCCGCCCGCAAUGUCUCGGUCGUGGGCUGGUCGUGGGUUCGUUAUUCCAGUUGUGCGUCAUUCUAAGCCGUUCUGUACAUUUAUACUGGAUAUUAAUUGGAGUCAUUUAGCUGUGCUGAUGCUGUUUGCCGUGUGUUUUGCAUCAGUGCUUCGUGACAUCGGCUGUAUUGCGUGUUUUCGCCGACGGCUUACUACCACAAUGGCGGGAUCUGCGUUCGCCGCCUUCGUGUCUCGGUGCGUCUUUGUACGUCGCACGUUCGCAUAACACUUUUUCCGGUAAGUGAAAUACAUAGCACUUCGUUUUUCGUCAACAAUGUGAAUAUUUUUAGGUGUUACCCGCGACAGUUCUUGAUAUAUGGGCUCUUCUGCCCUGCGAGUUUUCGUCAUUACUUUUAUACGAGGGUCUGCUUGUGUUCAGCCGUUCAGCACUACCGCGCUCCACGACUUCCGCAACACCAGUCAGAACUUUGCCCUGCUUGUUAGUCUUUGUGGUUAACGUAGCACGAACCAACCGAAAGGAGUGCAUUCGAAGGCGACGCGAUGGUUGUAAUCCUGAACCAGACUGAACUCGCCCUAUUUUGUGCCCUUUUGUUCUUGCGUGUGCGCGCGUGUGUGUCAGUGACUGUGCAGUUUGUAGCGUUCCCACUUUAUAGCAAAACAAAAAUAUAGCUGCAAUGUUUACUUCAUCUAUACAAUUCCAAAUUAAAUCGUCUGCUGAUGUACAAAUUUCACUUGUGUUUUGUUCUAAAUAAGCAGCAAUACCUUUAACCUAGUAGGUGCUUCAUCUGGGAGUGAAAACACGACAACUUGGCAUUUAUUAUUGAAUGACUGUGACUGGGUCACCUUAGUUGUAAUUGCAAAUCUGCCUUUCAACUGACUUGAUGCUAUCUUAUUUUGUUUCUUUCACUUUAUAGACGGCUGGACAUCCUUAUUGUACCUUGGCGCUAGCUGGAUGACGGGACCUCAUCAUGAUCAGUGUAUUGCUUGCCUAUGUCUACAAGAACCGUCACGCGUGGCCUGUAACAGCAAGCUUUUGUGGGCAGCAAGUGCUCUCCUACGAAGGCUGGCCUACUCUGGCAGCGGCGGCAAAUCAUCUUCAAGAUUUAUCCAUAAUCACCUUUGCUGCUAUUUGUCACUCUUGUUGAUUACACUUUCUGCGUCUUUUCUAAUUUAUUAGGUAAUAAAGUAUGAGUAUGUGA